Protopterus annectens (West African lungfish) is the source of this 380-nucleotide long non-coding RNA. RefSeq lists it as uncharacterized. The record is from RefSeq and is a predicted model, not a curated record. NCBI's taxonomy places the organism in Eukaryota, Metazoa, Chordata, Ceratodontiformes, Protopteridae. The transcript is spliced from 3 exons.
GGCUUUUUGCAGUGAUUGCUCAGACUAGUGGUGUUUCAUACCCACGGCUGGCUGCAUGUGAUGACUACAAUGCUAAUCCAAACUGUGAAGGAUUGAAACUCCAUCAUGUUUGUGGAACUGACGGAAACACCUACUCACAUGAAUGUCAUCUAUGCCAAGAAAACAAAUUCAAACCAACUCCAACAAGCAUUGCAAAAGAUGAAAAAUGCUGAAACAGAAACAUACCUUGCAUUUCCUAUAUCUUGCUGAAAAUGUGCUUUCCAGCUAUCAUUGUUGUGUGUUGCAGGCACACAAAAAUCUCAAAAUUUGCAGUAGAAAUUAAAUAUAAUAAAUGUCUAAAAUUAGUUUAAAGCACUUAUAUCUGCAAUGAAUAAAGAUAC